Non-coding RNA from Acanthosepion pharaonis, 111 nucleotides. The record is from the annotation of a GenBank genome assembly. NCBI's taxonomy places the organism in Eukaryota, Metazoa, Mollusca, Cephalopoda, Sepiida, Sepiidae.
ACGGCCACAUCACGUUGAAACACGGAUUCCGUAAGAUCAUCGAAGUUAAGCAACGUCGAGCCUGGUCAGUACCAAGAUCGGUGAGCGCUUAGAAAUGCCAGGUACUGUAAG